GUUUAUGAAUAUAGUUUCAGCUUAGUUUAGUUUUGCUACCCAAUCCUCAUAUUUUUAAACUAUAUUUUCACUGGAAAUUAGCACACACUAUGGUGCAACCUGUUACCGUCUUAAUGAGUUGUGGAAGAAUUGGAAAGUAGUUGCAGCCUUCAAUGCAAAAUUCUUAAGCUCUAUUUGUUUAAUGGAAAAUAGCUUAUUGGUGAAAAAAUAUUUUAUGAGGAAAAUAUUUUAUUCUGAGAUUCUGCCAUUUGGUUGUGAGUUACAACACUGAAAAUCUGUUAUAAGUUAUUUCUGGCAUUUGGAAUGAUUGAAAAAAGAAAUAAAAGGGCUUGUUCACUUGUGAAAAACUGGGGUAAUUUUUUAGAAAAGUUAUUUAAAAAAAAAUGAAAAACGAAGUUUUGUGUUCACAUGUGUCAUUUUUCCAAAUGGGAAUUGAAUAACUAAUAUUUCAGUUUUCCAAAAUUUAACUAAGAU
RNAcentral lists this unclassified non-coding RNA (474 nucleotides) under Hevea brasiliensis (rubber tree). Lineage: Eukaryota; Viridiplantae; Streptophyta; Magnoliopsida; Malpighiales; Euphorbiaceae. The record is from RNAcentral.